Herpailurus yagouaroundi (jaguarundi) is the source of this 340-nucleotide long non-coding RNA. RefSeq lists it as uncharacterized. The transcript has 3 exons. The record is from RefSeq and is a predicted model, not a curated record. NCBI's taxonomy places the organism in Eukaryota, Metazoa, Chordata, Mammalia, Carnivora, Felidae.
UUCUGAGACAAAGUGACGUUAGAAAGACUUCUGAAAAACAUACAACUAGUCUGAUUUAACCUGAGUACUGUCAUGUUUCCUAGGAUUUGCAAGCCACACGAAGAAUUCUCCUAUCAUUGAUUUAGAGCUUUUGUCACCUGUGCUUUUGGUGUCUUAUCCAAGGAAUCAUUACCAAGACCAAUGUCAAGAGCUUCUUCCCUGAUUUUGUCUAUAAUUUUUAUGAUUUCAGGUCUUACAUAUCACCUACCUCUUCCUGUCCAAACACCGUGGCCAAAGCAAUCACAUGUGAGAACUGAAUAACUGACGGCCCCAAGUAAAACCCCAGUAUUGUUACCAAAAG